UGGCUCAGUGGUAAAGAAUCUGCCUGCAAAACAGGAGACCCAGGUUCAAUCCCUGG
Molecule: transfer RNA, 56 nt
Filed under: Capra hircus (goat)
Lineage: Eukaryota; Metazoa; Chordata; Mammalia; Artiodactyla; Bovidae
Also listed under: 1 other name
Rfam family: tRNA
About the family: Transfer RNA (tRNA) molecules are approximately 80 nucleotides in length. Their secondary structure includes four short double-helical elements and three loops (D, anti-codon, and T loops).
Source: Rfam by way of RNAcentral